Molecule: ribosomal RNA, 482 nt
Filed under: uncultured bacterium
Lineage: Bacteria
Description: partial 16S ribosomal RNA
Rfam family: Bacterial small subunit ribosomal RNA
Source: RNAcentral
AUUGAACGCUGGCGGCAUGCUUUACACAUGCAAGUCGAACGGUAACAGGCCGCAAGGUGCUGACGAGUGGCGAACGGGUGAGUAAUGCAUCGGAACGUGCCCAGUCGUGGGGGAUAAAUACUCGAAAGAGUAGCUAAUACCGCAUACGAUCUAUGGAUGAAAGCGGGGGACCGUAAGGCCUCGCGCGAUUGGAGCGGCCGAUGUCAGAUUAGGUAGUUGGUGGGGUAAAGGCUCACCAAGCCAACGAUCUGUAGCUGGUCUGAGAGGACAACCAGCCACACUGGGACUGAGACACGGCCCAGACUCCUACGGGAGGCAGCAGUGGGGAAUUUUGGACAAUGGGCGCAAGCCUGACCCAGCAAUGCCGCGUGCAGGAAGAAGGCCUUCGGGUUGUAAACUGCUUUUGUACGGAACGAAACGGCUCUGGUUAAUACCCGGGGCUAAUGACGGUACCGUAAGAAUAAGCACCGGCUAACUACGUG